UCUGACACAGGUGCUGCAUGGCUGUCGUCAGCUCGUGUCGUGAGAUGUUGGGUUAAGUCCCGUAACGAGCGCAACCCUUGUCCUUAGUUACCAGCACGUUAUGGUGGGCACUCUAAGGAGACUGCCGGUGACAAACCGGAGGAAGGUGGGGAGUGACGUCAAGUCAUCAUGGCCCUUACGGCCUGGGCUACACACGUGCUACAAUGGUCGGUACAAAGGGUUGCCAAGCCGCGAGGUGGAGCUAAUCCCAUAAAAACCGAUCGUAGUCCGGAUCGCAGUCUGCAACUCGACUGCGUGAAGUCGGAAUCGCUAGUAAUCGUGAAUCAGAAUGUCACGGUGAAUACGUUCCCGGGCCUU
This 357-nucleotide ribosomal RNA is filed under the name uncultured Pseudomonas sp. RNAcentral's name for it is "bacterial SSU rRNA". It matches the Rfam family "Bacterial small subunit ribosomal RNA", at positions 1028 to 1382 of the family's 1533-position model. Lineage: Bacteria; Pseudomonadati; Pseudomonadota; Gammaproteobacteria; Pseudomonadales; Pseudomonadaceae. The record is from RNAcentral.